UACGGGGGGAGCAAGCGUUGUUCGGAUUUACUGGGCGUAAAGGGCGCGUAGGCGGCGCAACAAGUCACUUGUGAAAUCUCCGGGCUUAACCCGGAGCGGCCAAGUGAUACUGUCGUGCUAGAGUGCGGAAGGGGCUACUGGAAUUCUCGGUGUAGCGGUGAAAUGCGUAGAUAUUGAGAGGAACACCUGCGGCGAAGGCGGGUAGCUGGGCCGACACUGACGCUGAGGAGCGAAAGCGUGGGGAGCGAACAGG
This 253-nucleotide ribosomal RNA is filed under the name uncultured bacterium. Its description in RNAcentral is "partial 16S ribosomal RNA". It matches the Rfam family "Bacterial small subunit ribosomal RNA", at positions 524 to 776 of the family's 1533-position model. The record is from RNAcentral.